GUCCUCGAUCAGAGGGGAGGAAGCUGCCAAAAGGUCUUUGCUGAGCUGAGUUUUUCGUUUGCUUCGGGCGUGAGUGUGGCACAUGGCAGCAACAUCUGAGUCUGUGGAAGAUUAGAAAACAGACACGUCUUAACAGGCCCAGAUGGCCUGACUCCUGCUGCACCGUGACAGACCUUCACUUCAGCAGCCAGGCUGAACUCAAACUGCUGCGGCAGUCAGACUCCGGUUUUCUGAAAAAGGUGCACAUCAAAUGUUAUUUACCGUCUAAUUACCACCUUUAGUUGACGAGUGCACUAAGGUAAAGAAAGGUCUCAGCUGCAGCUCAUCCAGAGUCCUCACUAACACCAAGAAAGUGGAGCACAUCACACCGCUCCUUCAAAAUCACUGCGCUGGCUCUCUGUGUGUCGAAGGACAGAUUUUAAAAUCCUACUUCUGGUCUAUAAAGCUCUUUGCUCUACUUGCACAAUAUGAAGCAUCUGGAGGUUUUAGUCUCUCUGCUCUUCACCUGUGGAACAAGCUUCCUGAACACCUGAGAUCUGCUGCCACUGUCAGUUCAUUUAAAUCAGGGCCGAAAACAUCACGUACAUACUUUUUAAUCUCGUGCAUUUGCUUGUUUUUAAUGUCUUUUCUCGCUGCAGCACUUCUUUUAAAAAGCGUGUGACUUAUUCAAAUAUUUUUAGUUUUAUUUCGUUAAUUAUUUAUUUGUUUUUAUUGUUUUUAAUGUAUGUAAUGUAAAUGUAAAUUUUAAUGUAUUUCCAUGCCUCUGUAAAGCACUCCGUCUCACCUUGAUCACAGUGGAGCUGCCGGACAUGUGUGCCAGAGGUACAGAGACCAACAAUGGCUUUCUGUUUCCUCUAAAUUAUCAGGGAAUGGUAAAAAAAAGAAAAAUUGGGAAUAAUAUUAUUAAGUGUGGUGGGCAGACGUCAGUCACGCGAAGAUCCUGAACUGCAGGAAACAGUUAAAUGACGCGAUAUGAAGAGCAGCUUGGUACGAGGACGAGGAGACGCCAUGUGAGUCAUGUUUGACACGUUGAAUGCGGAUGUGACAGAUUCACAAAAGAUCCUAUAAAAUCAAAACAACAUCACGUCAUCACCUGACUCCACUCCUCCCGCUGCACAGGUAUGCCUACAAUAGCCCGUCAAAUUAAAUUAAGAAGACCCACUGGGUGUCUAGCCUAAAUAUUUGACCCAUUUUUCUUUUUUUUUGCAUGAGCCAAUUACCUCCACAACCUGUGUGGGAGGUUUUCUCACCACAAUGGCUGAUCUGUGUUGGCGAGAAAAUCCCUUCAGCGUUGCUCCUCAUGUAUCGUGACAAACACUGACAUUUACAGUCACGUCAAAUACGUCGCCUUUAAUCUGACUGGAAGUUUUUCCUGUGUGAGAGAUUCGUGAGUGUGUAUUCGCUCAUAUUUAGUCACAAAGAGUUUUCAUGUGGUCUGUUAUUGUGAGCGAUGUUCACGAUACAGCUGCACUUACUCAUAUAACUGGUAUCAAAGCAACACAGCACGAUAAUGGAGCUCAGUUCCUUGAUGUAAUUUUAAUGUCGGCUUCACAUGAUAGUACUUAAGACAACUGUUCUAACUUUAGAAGCAAUGCAUUUGUUUCAAUAGGCAGCAGGAAAAAAAACAAACAUAAUACAUAAAGAUAAUGAACUAAUUAGACUGAAAUGCAUCAAAACCCACUUUGAGGAUGAAAACGUUUCAGAUGAACUCCUGACCUCGGAUCACAUUUAAUCUAUUUAAUGUAAAGUCUAUUUAAUGGCAGCAACACAGGAGAUCUGUGAGCGACAUCCCGUUCAGCACCGACUGUUGCUGUGUUGAGGCUUAAUGUUACUGUACAUUUAACCAACUGUACGUGUGCUGUUCAUACUGUACCUUACAUCAACACUCUCUCUUCUCUAACUCUGUCCACUUCUCUGGACAUACCGAUCUAAAACAUUUACAUAUAUAGUUUUUGUAUAUUUGUAAGAUACAGCAUCACUUAUGCUGCAGUAACCUGCACUUAUCUGUAAAUAAUACUAUUUUUGCAUGUCUGGUUAGAUGCUAACUACAUUUCAUUGGCUUUGCACCUGCACAAUAAAUCUAAAUCUAAAAAUGAA
This is a long non-coding RNA of Seriola aureovittata, 2097 nucleotides long. RefSeq lists it as uncharacterized. NCBI's taxonomy places the organism in Eukaryota, Metazoa, Chordata, Actinopteri, Carangiformes, Carangidae. The record is from RefSeq and is a predicted model, not a curated record. The transcript is spliced from 3 exons.